This 789-nucleotide ribosomal RNA is filed under the name uncultured archaeon. RNAcentral's name for it is "bacterial SSU rRNA". It matches the Rfam family "Archaeal small subunit ribosomal RNA", at positions 85 to 879 of the family's 1478-position model. The record is from RNAcentral.
ACGGCUCAGUAACACGUGGAUAAUCUACCCUGAGGUGGGGGAUAACCCCGGGAAACUGGGGAUAAUAUCCCAUAGGUUAUGGAGGCUGGAAUGCACUAUAACCGAAAGCUCCGGCGCCUCAGGAUGAGUCUGCGGCCGAUUAGGUUGUUGUUGGGGUAACGGCCCAACAAGCCUAUAAUCGGUACGGGUUGUGGGAGCAAGAGCCCGGAGAUGGAUUCUGAGACAUGAAUCCAGGCCCUACGGGGCGCAGCAGGCGCGAAAACUUUACAAUGCGAGCAAUCGUGAUAAGGGGACCCCGAGUGCCUGUAUACGCAGGCUGUUCAGGUGUCUAAAAAACACCUGGAGAAAGGGCCGGGCAAGACCGGUGCCAGCCGCCGCGGUAAUACCGGCGGCUCGAGUGGUAACCGCUAUUAUUGGGUCUAAAGGGUCUGUAGCCGGCCGGAUAAGUCUUUUGGGAAAUCCAGCAGCUCAACUGUUGGGCUUUCAGAAGAUACUGUUCGGCUCGAGACCGGGAGAGGUGAGAGGUACUUCAGGGGUAGGGGUGAAAUCUUGUAAUCCUUGAAGGACCACCAGUGGCGAAGGCGUCUCACCAGAACGGUCCUGACGGCAAGGGACGAAAGCUAGGGGCACGAACCGGAUUAGAUACCCGGGUAGUCCUAGCCGUAAACGAUACUCGCUAGGUGUCAGCCACGGUGCGACCGUGGUUGGUGCCGUAGGGAAGCCGUGAAGCGAGCCACCUGGGAAGUACGGCCGCAAGGCUGAAACUUAAAGGAAUUGGCGGGGGAGCAC